CCUACGGGCGGCAGCAGUGAGGAAUAUUGGUCAAUGGACGAGAGUCUGAACCAGCCAAGUCGCGUGAAGGAUGACUGCCCUAUGGGUUGUAAACUUCUUUUGUAAAGGAAUAAAACGAGGCACGUGUGCCUUUUUGCAUGUACUUUAUGAAUAAGGAUCGGCUAACUCCGUGCCAGCAGCCGCGGUAAUACGGAGGAUCCGAGCGUUAUCCGGAUUUAUUGGGUUUAAAGGGAGCGUAGAUGGGUUGUUAAGUCAGUUGUGAAAGUUUGCGGCUCAACCGUAAAAGUGCAAUUGAUACUGGCAGUCGUGAGUACAGUGGAGGUAGGCGGAAUUCGCGGUGUAGCGGUGAAAUGCUUAGAUAUCACGAAGAACCCCGAUUGCGAAGGCAGCUUACUAAACUGUGACUGACAUUGAUGCACGAAAGUGUGGGUAUCAAACAGGAUUAGAUACCCCUGUAGUC
Molecule: ribosomal RNA, 460 nt
Filed under: uncultured bacterium
Lineage: Bacteria
Description: partial 16S ribosomal RNA
Rfam family: Bacterial small subunit ribosomal RNA
Source: RNAcentral